CCCUUAGACGUUCUGGGCCGCACGCGCGCUACACUGACGGAGCCAGCGAGUAUAAACCUUGGCCGAGAGGUCUGGGAAAUCUUGUGAAACUCCGUCGUGCUGGGGAUAGAGCAUUGUAAUUAUUGCUCUUCGACGAGGAAUUCCUAGUAAGCGCAAGUCAUCAGCUUGCGUUGAUUACGUCCCUGCCCUUUGUACACACCGCCCGUCGCUACUACCGAUUGAAUGGCUUAGUGAGGCUUCCGGAUUGGUUUAGAGAAGGGGGCAACUCCAUCUUGGAACCGAGAAGCUAGUCAAACUUGGUCAUUUAGAGGAAGUAAAAGUCGUAACA
RNAcentral lists this ribosomal RNA (328 nucleotides) under uncultured eukaryote. RNAcentral describes it as "partial 18S ribosomal RNA". It matches the Rfam family "Eukaryotic small subunit ribosomal RNA", at positions 1470 to 1796 of the family's 1831-position model. The record is from RNAcentral.